CUCAAAUCUGACUCCUCCUGGAUUCCUCAGCUCCCUAGGGAACUUUUCUGAGGAGCUAGUUCAGCAGGAAGCAAAGUUAAUCUGUCCCCUGGGCCUGGCUCGAGGCUCUAAAUCACAAAGCAGGUAUUUCUGGAGGAAUUCCACAGAGGGGUCAGCUUCUCCAAUUUUCUGACUCCUUCGUACUUCCAGUUGCAUUUCCCAGCUCCAACAGCUUUAGCAGCUUCCGCAGAUUCACAAGCUGCAUAAAUCUGAUUUUUAGUGACCCAGGACAGCUGCCUAGAGGCAAAAAAAAUCUCUGAACAAAAUACCCAUCAUCUCUUUCCAUUUUUCAAAAGUCUGGCCUGGGGAGAAGGUUGUCCCUCUACUGCAAUCCAAUUGUGAAAGCUGUAAGAGGAAGACGGGGCAGGAUCCUGUUUGCCCCUGUGACUAGAAGGGAUAGCAGCUGAGGAAUGAGAGCCACAACUCGGGAGGACCAAUCUCUCAGUUCCAGGGACUUGCGUGGUGGAGGCUGUCUUUUCCUAUCAGGGCCUAAAAAGUGCCAAAGUCAACAGAGACAUCAGUUCUCUGUGGCCAGCCAGGGAUGAGAUCAGUGCAGCCAGCAAGCUAUCUUCAGAAGUGCAUCCAAGUUCAAAGUCCCUGAGGGAAGCUGUGGACAGAAAUCUCUUCUUUCUGAUGAAUAAUUUGCUGCUUAUUUUAUUUUGCAAAAACUACAUGCUUAACACUAAAAAUGGGGAAA
This 736-nucleotide long non-coding RNA is filed under the name Fukomys damarensis (Damara mole-rat). Its description in RNAcentral is "lncRNA (ENSFDAG00000031862.1)". Lineage: Eukaryota; Metazoa; Chordata; Mammalia; Rodentia; Bathyergidae. The record is from RNAcentral.